GAAAUGCGAUACUUGGUGUGAAUUGCAGAAUCCCGCGAACCAUCGAGUCUUUGAACGCAAGUUGCGCCCGAAGCCAUUAGGUUGAGGGCACAUCUACCUGGGCAUCUCACGUUGUGUUGCCCGUACCCCCUUCCCCCGAAGGGAAGGGUUGCGGGCGAAUGUUGGCCCCCUGCAUGCACCCGCGCACUGUUAGUCUAAAAAGAAGUCCCCCGUGACAGACGACGCGUCACGACGAUUGGUGGUUAACAAACUAUUGUGUCGCCUUGUGCGCGUCCGAGUCAUCGCGGGAGGUCUGUUAUGACCCUAUAGCGCCGCUGCCAAGGAGCUCCGAUCGCGACCCUAGGUCAAGCAGGAUUACCCGCUGAGUUUAA
Molecule: unclassified non-coding RNA, 371 nt
Filed under: uncultured fungus
Lineage: Eukaryota; Fungi
Description: sequence contains ITS1
Rfam family: 5.8S ribosomal RNA (bases 1-107)
Source: RNAcentral